Molecule: long non-coding RNA, 968 nt
Filed under: Homo sapiens (human)
Lineage: Eukaryota; Metazoa; Chordata; Mammalia; Primates; Hominidae
Description: non-protein coding lnc-USP14-3:6
Source: RNAcentral
AGAGUGGCCUGUGAACACCGGUCGGGCGAGCUGGCAGUUGGGAGUUUCCCUAGCGACUCAGUUCGGGUGGGCGUUGGGCGCCUGAGUCAGCCAAACAGCCUACUCGGGGUUCUUGGGUAGCCUUUGGGGUGAGGGGACUUGGGCGGCCUUGGUCUGUAAGCUCUGCGUUCCCGGGCGUGGAAGAGACUGGCCGCGCACAUGCGUUUCUGUGGAUUACCUGGGGAAACAGCUGGAGCAGUGGUCCUGGGCCGCCAGUCCGCGGUCAUCCCGGGAGCUUAAGAUGCGGAGUGGUGAUAGGCUCCGGAUGUAUGAGCCCUGUGGCUCAAGGGCGCUGUUCUCUCUGCUCCGAAAUAGAAAUAAUACCUGUCUCACAGAGCUGUUGAAAAGCUCCACUGAAAUAAUGACCGCAAGUGUGAACUGUAAAGCAAUGAGAGACGUGGCCGAUAGAAGCCGAGUGGCAGUAACUCUAAGUUGGAGUUACACGGUGGAGAAGGAAGCACUGACUCAGACUCGGCUCUUCCCUUUCUUCCUGCCCCAGCCACUCAAGCAGGUGCUUGGGUUCUAUGCUGAUGACCUUGUUGGAGAGAUGUGAUUGGUCAGAAAAGCAGCAACUGGGCUGGGCACGGUGGCUCACACCUGUAAUCCCAGCACUUUGGGAGGCCAAGGUGGACAGAUCAUUUGAGCCCAGGAGUUCAAGACCAGCUUGGGCAACAUGGCAAAACCCCCGUCUCUACAAAAAAAAACACAAAAACUAGCCAGGCAUUGUGGUAUGCCCCUGAAGUCCCAGCUACUUGGCAGGCUGAGGCAGGAGGACGGCUUAAGCCCAGAGGUGGAGAUUGCAGUGAACCGAGAUCACGACACUGUACUCCAGCCUGGGUGACAGAGCGAGACCCCAUCUCAAAAAAUAAAUAAAUAAAAGUAAUUAAAAAAAAGAAGGAAAGAAAAAAGAAAAGCAGCUGUUGCUCGCA